RNAcentral lists this ribosomal RNA (1130 nucleotides) under 'Vitis vinifera' phytoplasma (Canada). RNAcentral's name for it is "bacterial SSU rRNA". It matches the Rfam family "Bacterial small subunit ribosomal RNA", at positions 208 to 1346 of the family's 1533-position model. The record is from RNAcentral. Lineage: Bacteria; Bacillati; Mycoplasmatota; Mollicutes; Acholeplasmatales; Acholeplasmataceae.
AAUAGGUAUGCUUAGGGAGGAGCUUGCGUCACAUUAGUUAGUUGGUGGGGUAAAGGCCUACCAAGACUAUGAUGUGUAGCCGGGCUGAGAGGUUGAACGGCCACAUUGGGACUGAGACACGGCCCAAACUCCUACGGGAGGCAGCAGUAGGGAAUUUUCGGCAAUGGAGGAAACUCUGACCGAGCAACGCCGCGUGAACGAUGAAGUAUUUCGGUACGUAAAGUUCUUUUAUUAGGGAAGAAUAAAUGAUGGAAAAAUCAUUCUGACGGUACCUAAUGAAUAAGCCCCGGCUAACUAUGUGCCAGCAGCCGCGGUAAUACAUAGGGGGCAAGCGUUAUCCGGAAUUAUUGGGCGUAAAGGGUGCGUAGGCUGUUAAAUAAGUUUAUGGUCUAAGUGCAAUGCUCAACAUUGUGAUGCUAUAAAAACUGUUUAGCUAGAGUAAGAUAGAGGCAAGUGGAAUUCCAUGUGUAGUGGUAAAAUGCGUAAAUAUAUGGAGGAACACCAGUAGCGAAGGCGGCUUGCUGGGUCUUUACUGACGCUGAGGCACGAAAGCGUGGGGAGCAAACAGGAUUAGAUACCCUGGUAGUCCACGCCGUAAACGAUGAGUACUAAACGUUGGGUAAAACCAGUGUUGAAGUUAACACAUUAAGUACUCCGCCUGAGUAGUACGUACGCAAGUAUGAAACUUAAAGGAAUUGACGGGACUCCGCACAAGCGGUGGAUCAUGUUGUUUAAUUCGAAGGUACCCGAAAAACCUCACCAGGUCUUGACAUGCUUCUGCAAAGCUGUAGAAACACAGUGGAGGUUAUCAGUUGCACAGGUGGUGCAUGGUUGUCGUCAGCUCGUGUCGUGAGAUGUUGGGUUAAGUCCCGCAACGAGCGCAACCCUUAUUGUUAGUUGCCAGCACGUAAUGGUGGGGACUUUAGCAAGACUGCCAGUGAUAAAUUGGAGGAAGGUGGGGACGACGUCAAAUCAUCAUGCCCCUUAUGACCUGGGCUACAAACGUGAUACAAUGGCUGUUACAAAGGGUAGCUGAAACGCAAGUUUUUGGCGAAUCUCAAAAAAACAGUCUCAGUUCGGAUUGAAGUCUGCAACUCGACUUCAUGAAGUUGGAAUCGCUAGUAAUCGCG